GAGAACGACUCCUGACAACGGAUAUCUCGGCUCUUGCAUCGAUGAAGAGCGCAGCUAAAUGUGAUACUUGGUGUGAAUUGCAGAAUCCCGUGAAUCAUCGAGUUCUUGAACGCAAGUUGCGCCUAAGGUCAUCCGACCGAGGGCACAUCUCCUUGGGCGU
This 160-nucleotide ribosomal RNA is filed under the name Helosis brasiliensis. RNAcentral describes it as "5.8S ribosomal RNA". It matches the Rfam family "5.8S ribosomal RNA". Rfam says of the family: 5.8S ribosomal RNA (5.8S rRNA) is a component of the large subunit of the eukaryotic ribosome. It is transcribed by RNA polymerase I as part of the 45S precursor that also contains 18S and 28S rRNA. Functionally, it is thought that 5.8S rRNA may be involved in ribosome translocation. The record is from RNAcentral. Lineage: Eukaryota; Viridiplantae; Streptophyta; Magnoliopsida; Santalales; Balanophoraceae.